GCUGGGUGCAGUGGCACACGCCUGUAAUCCCAGUGGCUUGGGACGCUGAGGCAGGAGGAUCAUGAGUUCAAAGCCAGCCUCAGCAAAAGCAAGGUUCUGAGCAACUCAGUGAGACCCUGUCUCUA
RNAcentral lists this small RNA (125 nucleotides) under Marmota monax (woodchuck). The record is from RNAcentral. Lineage: Eukaryota; Metazoa; Chordata; Mammalia; Rodentia; Sciuridae.